RNAcentral lists this ribosomal RNA (492 nucleotides) under uncultured bacterium. Its description in RNAcentral is "partial 16S ribosomal RNA". It matches the Rfam family "Bacterial small subunit ribosomal RNA", at positions 30 to 507 of the family's 1533-position model. The record is from RNAcentral.
AGUGAACGCUGGCGGUAGGCCUAACACAUGCAAGUCGAACGGCAGCACAGUAAGAGCUUGCUCUUACGGGUGGCGAGUGGCGGACGGGUGAGGAAUACAUCGGAAUCUACUUUUUCGUGGGGGUUAACGUAGGGAAACUUACGCUCAUACCGCAUACGCCCUACGGGUGAAAGCAGGGGAUCUUCGCACCUUGCGCGAUUGAAUGAGCCGCUGUCGGAUUAGCUAGUUGGCGGGGUAAUGGCCCACCAAGGCGACGAUCCGUAGCUGGUCGGAGAGGAUGAUCGGCGACACUGGAGGGGGGACACGGUCCAGAGGCCUGCGGGAGGGAGCAGUCGGGAAUGUUGGACAAUGGGGGCAAGCCUGAUCCAGCGAGAGCGCGUGGGUGACGGAGGCCUUCGGGUUGUAAAGCCGGUUUGUUGGGAAAGAAAAGCAGCAGGUUAAUACGCCGCUGUUCUGACGGUACCCAAAGAAGAAGCACCGGCUAACUUCGUG